UGCCAGCCGCCGCGGUAAUACGGAGGGUGCAAGCGUUGUUCGGAAUUAUUGGGCGUAAAGCGCGUGUAGGCGGUUCGUUAAGUCUGAUGUGAAAGCCCGGGGCUCAACCCCGGAAGUGCAUUGGAAACUGGCGAACUUGAGUACGGGAGAGGAAAGUGGAAUUCCGAGUGUAGGGGUGAAAUCCGUAGAUAUUCGGAGGAACACCAGUGGCGAAGGCGGCUUUCUGGUCCAGCACUGACGCUAAAUUGCGAAAGCUAGGGGAGCGAACGGAAUUAGAUA
RNAcentral lists this ribosomal RNA (279 nucleotides) under uncultured bacterium. Its description in RNAcentral is "partial 16S ribosomal RNA". It matches the Rfam family "Bacterial small subunit ribosomal RNA", at positions 506 to 784 of the family's 1533-position model. The record is from RNAcentral.